This 208-nucleotide unclassified non-coding RNA is filed under the name plant metagenome. RNAcentral's name for it is "partial contains small subunit ribosomal RNA, internal transcribed spacer 1, and 5.8S ribosomal RNA". The record is from RNAcentral.
UUUCCGUAGGUGAACCUGCGGAAGGAUCAUUACAGAGUUCAUGCCCGAAAGGGUAGACCUCCCACCCUUGUGUAUUAUUACUUUGUUGCUUUGGCGAGCUGCCUUCGGGCCUUGUAUGCUCGCCAGAGAAUAUCAAAACUCUUUUUAUUAAUGUCGUCUGAGUACUAUAUAAUAGUUAAAACUUUCAACAACGGAUCUCUUGGUUCUG